RNAcentral lists this long non-coding RNA (330 nucleotides) under Calidris pugnax (ruff). Its description in RNAcentral is "lncRNA (ENSCPUG00000003742.1)". The record is from RNAcentral. Lineage: Eukaryota; Metazoa; Chordata; Aves; Charadriiformes; Scolopacidae.
AUUCACGUGGCACAGUGGAUAGCACAGAAGGGCAGCUGUUGAGGUAACAGUCAACUAAAGUGAUAUUUUGCAGCAAACCCUUGCAAGAGCACUGCCCGUGGAGGAAGCUUCCCCUCAAACUGUGAGAGGUUGGAGACCUACAGGAUUAAAUUCCAGGACUCAGGAUAAAUUCUCUCCAAGCAUGCACUAUCCAGCACCUUCCUUGCAAAAGUGGCAUGAUUGCAAAAUACAUGAAAGAAAAUAUAAAUAGCUGAUAACCUGGUGAUUUCACUGGCUGGAGAGACACAUAUAAAUCCUUCUGAGUGAGACUCAGUAAGCAAAAGAUUACCC